AUUGAACGCUGGCGGCAUGCCUUACACAUGCAAGUCGAACGGCAGCACGGGAGCAAUCCUGGUGGCGAGUGGCGAACGGGUGAGUAAUAUAUCGGAACGUGCCCAGUCGUGGGGGAUAACGUAGCGAAAGCUACGCUAAUACCGCAUACGAUCUAUGGAUGAAAGCGGGGGAUCGCAAGACCUCGCGCGAUUGGAGCGGCCGAUAUCAGAUUAGGUAGUUGGUGAGGUAAAGGCUCACCAAGCCGACGAUCUGUAGCUGGUCUGAGAGGACGACCAGCCACACUGGGACUGAGACACGGCCCAGACUCCUACGGGAGGCAGCAGUGGGGAAUUUUUGGACAAUGGGCGCAAGCCUGAUCCAGCAAUGCCGCGUGCAGGAUGAAGGCCUCGGUUGUAACGUUAGUACGUUUGUUACGG
RNAcentral lists this ribosomal RNA (417 nucleotides) under uncultured bacterium. RNAcentral describes it as "bacterial SSU rRNA". It matches the Rfam family "Bacterial small subunit ribosomal RNA", at positions 30 to 448 of the family's 1533-position model. The record is from RNAcentral.